GUGCCAGCAGCCGCGGUAAUACAGAGGGUGCAAGCGUUGUUCGGAAUUAUUGGGCGUAAAGGGAGUGUAGGCGGCUAGGAAAGUCUUCUGUGAAAUCUACGGGCUCAGCCUGUAACGUGCAGAGGAAACUAUCUGGCUAGAGUGUCGGAGAGGAUAGGGGAAUACCCAGUGUAGAGGUGAAAUUCGUAGAGAUUGGGUGGAACACCAGUGGCGAAGGCGCCUGUCUGGCUGACAACUGACGCUGAGACUCGAAAGCAUGGGGAGCAAACAGGAUUAGAAACCCGCGUAGUCC
Molecule: ribosomal RNA, 292 nt
Filed under: uncultured bacterium
Lineage: Bacteria
Description: partial 16S ribosomal RNA
Rfam family: Bacterial small subunit ribosomal RNA
Source: RNAcentral